RNAcentral lists this ribosomal RNA (412 nucleotides) under Bacillus safensis. Its description in RNAcentral is "bacterial SSU rRNA". It matches the Rfam family "Bacterial small subunit ribosomal RNA", at positions 46 to 448 of the family's 1533-position model. Lineage: Bacteria; Bacillati; Bacillota; Bacilli; Caryophanales; Bacillaceae. The record is from RNAcentral.
GCCUAAUACAUGCAAGUCGAGCGGACAGAAGGGAGCUUGCUCCCGGAUGUUAGCGGCGGACGGGUGAGUAACACGUGGGUAACCUGCCUGUAAGACUGGGAUAACUCCGGGAAACCGGAGCUAAUACCGGAUAGUUCCUUGAACCGCAUGGUUCAAGGAUGAAAGACGGUUUCGGCUGUCACUUACAGAUGGACCCGCGGCGCAUUAGCUAGUUGGUGGGGUAAUGGCUCACCAAGGCGACGAUGCGUAGCCGACCUGAGAGGGUGAUCGGCCACCCUGGGACUGAAACACGGCCCAGACUCCUACGGGAGGCAGCAUUAGGGAAUCUUCCCCAAUGGACGAAAGUCUGACUGAGCAACGCCGCGUGAGUGAUGAAGGUUUUCGGAUCGUAAAGCUCCGUUGUUAAGGAAGA